GACGAACGCUGGCGGCGUGCUUAACACAUGCAAGUCGAACGGAAAGGCCCUGCUUUUGUGGGGUGCUCGAGUGGCGAACGGGUGAGUAACACGUGAGUAACCUGCCCUUGACUUUGGGAUAACUUCAGGAAACUGGGGCUAAUACCGGAUAGGAGCUCCUGCUGCAUGGUGGGGGUUGGAAAGUUUCGGCGGUUGGGGAUGGACUCGCGGCUUAUCAGCUUGUUGGUGGGGUAGUGGCUUACCAAGGCUUUGACGGGUAGCCGGCCUGAGAGGGUGACCGGCCACAUUGGGACUGAGAUACGGCCCAGACUCCUACGGGAGGCAGCAGUGGGGAAUAUUGCACAACGGGCGGAAGCCUGAUGCAGCAACGCCGCGUGCGGGAUGACGGCCUUCGGGUUGUAAACCGCUUUCGCCUGUGACGAAGCGUGAGUGACGGUAAUGGGUAAAGAAGCACCGGCUAACUACGUGCCAGCAGCCGCGGUGAUACGUAGGGUGCGAGCGUUGUCCGGAUUUAUUGGGUGUAAAGGGCUCGUAGGUGGUUGAUCGCGUCGGAAGUGUAAUCUUGGGGCUUAACCCUGAGCGUGCUUUCGAUACGGGUUGACUUGAGGAAGGUAGGGGAGAAUGGAAUUCCUGGUGGAGCGGUGGAAUGCGCAGAUAUCAGGAGGAACACCAGUGGCGAAGGCGGUUCUCUGGGCCUUUCCUGACGCUGAGGAGCGAAAGCGUGGGGAGCGAACAGGCUUAGAUACCCUGGUAGUCCACGCUGUAAACGGUGGGUACUAGGUGUGGGGUCCAUUCCACGGGUUCCGUGCCGUAGCUAACGCUUUAAGUACCCCGCCUGGGGAGUACGGCCGCAAGGCUAAAACUCAAAGGAAUUGACGGGGCCCCGCACAAGCGGCGGAGCAUGCGGAUUAAUUCGAUGCAACGCGUAGAACCUUACCUGGGUUUGACAUGGAUCGGGAGUGCUCAGAGAUGGGUGUGCCUCUUUUGGGGUCGGUUCACAGGUGGUGCAUGGCUGUCGUCAGCUCGUGUCGUGAGAUGUUGGGUUAAGUCCCGCAACGAGCGCAACCCUUGUUCACUGUUGCCAGCACGUUAUGGUGGGGACUCAGUGGAGACCGCCGGGGUCAACUCGGAGGAAGGUGGGGAUGACGUCAAGUCAUCAUGCCCCUUAUGUCCAGGGCUUCACGCAUGCUACAAUGGCUGGUACAGAGAGUGGCGAGCCUGUGAGGGUGAGCGAAUCUCGGAAAGCCGGUCUCAGUUCGGAUUGGGGUCUGCAACUCGACCUCAUGAAGUCGGAGUCGCUAGUAAUCGCAGAUCAGCAACGCUGCGGUGAAUACGUUCCCGGG
RNAcentral lists this ribosomal RNA (1343 nucleotides) under uncultured bacterium. RNAcentral describes it as "16S ribosomal RNA". It matches the Rfam family "Bacterial small subunit ribosomal RNA", at positions 28 to 1378 of the family's 1533-position model. The record is from RNAcentral.